RNAcentral lists this long non-coding RNA (486 nucleotides) under Pan troglodytes (chimpanzee). RNAcentral's name for it is "long non-coding RNA NONPTRT010106". Lineage: Eukaryota; Metazoa; Chordata; Mammalia; Primates; Hominidae. The record is from RNAcentral.
CUGAGCAUUUGAAUCAACACAGCCUGCAGCGUCCUUGCGGAGCCCUGUUUAUGGGGCAAUAAACCAUUUAAACGACUCUGUGUUGGAACCCACAAGGUCGCCUUGAAAGGCUUUUCACAGACACUGCUAGUAGGGCUCCAGGACGUCUGGAGGGCCAGGCUGGGGUGUCUUUUUGGCUUCUGCUUGAAGCUGCCGGUUCCCCUCCAUCAGGAACGCCAGCCCCAGGAGAGGCUGCCAUGAGCCAGUUUCCACGUAAAGAAAUCUAAGCAACUUGCUAGGGAGGCCACAUGGAGACAGUGAAACCCCAGAGGAUGAGAAACCACUUGAAAAAGAGCGAAGGCACCCAGUGGACAGCCAGCACCCGCCGCCGGAUGUGAAUGAGGCUGUCUUGCAUUCCUAAGAUGCUGCAGCUGACAUGAGGUGAAGCAAAGAUGAGUGUCCCAGCUGAGCCUGGCCAAGCUCCUGACUCACGGAAUCCUGAAAAAU